This 489-nucleotide ribosomal RNA is filed under the name uncultured soil bacterium. RNAcentral describes it as "bacterial SSU rRNA". It matches the Rfam family "Bacterial small subunit ribosomal RNA", at positions 26 to 501 of the family's 1533-position model. The record is from RNAcentral.
AGAACGAACGCUGGCGGCGUGGAUAAGACAUGCAAGUCGAACGGGACAACAUUUGUAGCAAUACAGGUGUUGUUUAGUGGCGAACGGGUGCGUAACACGUGGGCAAUCUGCCGAGAAGUGGGGGAUAGCUCGCCGAAAGGCGAAUUAAUACCGCAUAUGAUCAGGGACGACAUCUUCCCAACAUCAAAGCCGGGGUAACCUGGCGCUUCUUGAUGAGCCCGCGGCCUAUCAGCUAGUUGGUGAGGUAACGGCUCACCAAGGCUAUGACGGGUAGCUGGUCUGAGAGGACGACCAGUCACACUGGAACUGAGACACGGUCCAGACACCUACGGGUGGCAGCAGUCGAGAAUUUUCACAAUGGGGGCAACCCUGAUGGAGCGACGCGCGUGGAGGAUGAAGGCUUUCGGUGUAAACUCCUGUCAUUUGAGAACAAGUGUAGCUAAGUAACUACUGGCUACUUGAUAGUAUCAGAAGAGAAGAGACGCUAAC